Molecule: ribosomal RNA, 1014 nt
Filed under: Holcolaetis sp. d036
Lineage: Eukaryota; Metazoa; Arthropoda; Arachnida; Araneae; Salticidae
Description: eukaryotic LSU rRNA
Rfam family: Eukaryotic large subunit ribosomal RNA
Source: RNAcentral
AGGGAAGAGCCCAGCGCCGAAUCCCCGACCUCCGGUCGCGGGAAAUGUGGCGUUUGGGAGUGAGCGUGCCGGGUUCGCGCUGGACGGCAAGUCCCCCUGACCGGGGCCUAUCCAUAGCGGGUGCGAGGCCCAUAGCCGUCCGGCGCGUCUCGGAUGCGAUCUCCUUGGAGUCGGGUUGCUUGGGAGUGCAGCCCUAAUCGGGUGGUAAACUCCACCUAAGGCUAAAUACCGCCGUGAGACCGAUAGCAAACAAGUACCGUGAGGGAAAGUUGCAAAGAACUUUGAAGAGAGAGUUCAAGAGUACGUGAAACUGCUCAGAGGUAAACGGGUGGGCCCUCGAAAUCCUGUGGCGAGAGGAUUCAGUCUGUCGGCGUGCGCGUCUGGCCGGAAAGCGCGGUAGGGCUUCCCGGGACCGGGGCCGUCCGACCGGGCGCUCCGCGCGCUGGCAGACGCAUUUGACUCUCGUCCUAAGGACGCUGCAGCCGGCGGGGCAGUGCAAGCGCGACGGCCUGAAGGUCGGGAGAUGGCAGGUGGCCGCUGGCGCGUCGAGUGCGCGUCGGCGGUUGUUAGCCGUCCCGUCAGUGGCCCGUCGCCCCGCCGAGGUGUCACGAGGCCCCCAGUGGGCCCUUCCGUCUCCUCCCCGAGACGCGGGAUGGACCGUUCGCUGGCGAAGGCCGACGUCCCGUCGCACUACUUCGGAGUGGGCGGGCGUCGCGUCGGCGCCGCAGGCGAAGGCAAGGCCCGUCGGGAGACCGGAGGCUGGCAGCGAGUAGGUCGGUCACCCACCCGACCCGUCUUGAAACACGGACCAAGGAGUCUAACAUGUGCGCGAGUCAAUGGGUCUUGAACAGGCCCAGGGGCGCAAUGAAAGCAAAGGCUUGUGAUCUGCAGGCCGAGUUGGGAUCCCCGCUCCCCCGUGGGCGGGGCGCACCAACGACCCGUCCCGUCCGGCUCGCCGGUGGGGCGGAGUGUGAGCGUACACGUUGGGACCCGAAAGAUGGUGAACUAUGCCCG